Molecule: small nuclear RNA, 104 nt
Organism: Nycticebus coucang (slow loris)
Lineage: Eukaryota; Metazoa; Chordata; Mammalia; Primates; Lorisidae
Source: RefSeq, a predicted model, not a curated record
CUUUCUUUGGCAAUAGAUAUACUAAUAUUAGAGCAAUAAAGAGAAGAUUAGCAUGAUCCCUGUACAACCACCACAUGCAAAUUCACGGAACAUUCCAUAUUUUU